UACGGAGGGGACUAGCGUUGUUCGGAAUUACUGGGCGUAAAGCGCACGUAGGCGGAUUUGUAAGUCAGGGGUGAAAUCCUGGAGCUCAACUCCAGAACUGCCUUUGAUACUGGCGAUCUCGAGUCCGGGAGAGGUGAGUGGAACUGCGAGUGUAGAGGUGAAAUUCGUAGAUAUUCGCAAGAACACCAGUGGCGAAGGCGGCUCACUGGCCCGGUACUGACGCUGAGGUGCGAAAGCGUGGGGAGCAAACAGG
RNAcentral lists this ribosomal RNA (253 nucleotides) under uncultured bacterium. RNAcentral describes it as "partial 16S ribosomal RNA". It matches the Rfam family "Bacterial small subunit ribosomal RNA", at positions 524 to 776 of the family's 1533-position model. The record is from RNAcentral.